AUGGUGAAGGUUGGAGUGAACAGAUCUGGCCAUAUUGGAUGCCUGGACUGCAUGUUUGCCUUCAACUCUGGUAACAUGCAACAUGGGUACUGUUGCUAUCAAUGAUCUCAUCAUUGAAGUCAACUAUAUGCAAUCCAAUGUCCAGUGUGAUUAUAACCAUGGUACUUUACACAGUAGAGUCAAGGCUGGGAAUGGGAAACUUUUCUCGACAGGAAGGCCACGUCCAUCUUUCAGGAGUGUGAUCUACCAGCACCAACAGGGUUACGCUGGUGCUGAGGUACCUUGAUUAUCAUGGAGAAGGCUGCAGCCCACUCAAAGGGUGGAGCUGAAAAGGCUGAUGCCCCUGUGUUUGUGAAGGGCAUUAACCAUAAGGAUGAAUAACUCACUCAAGAGCAUCAGUAAUCAAUCCCUCCUUCACCACCAACUGCUUAGUCCCCAUGGUCAAGGUCAUCCUUGACAACUUUGGUAUCACUGAAGAACUCAGAACUAUAGUCACACCAUCAUUCCACCCAGACUGUAGAUGGCCCCUCUGGGGAACUGUGAUGAUGGACAUGAUAGAACAUCAUCUUUGCAUACAUUGGCUUCAAGGCUGUGGGCAAGGUCCUCUCAGAGCUGAAUAGGAAGCUCACUGACAUGGACUUCCACAGUCCUACUGCUGAUGUGUCCAUAGUAGACCUGACCUGCUGCUACCUGGAGAAAGCUCACAAUUAAGACAACAUCAAGAAGGUCGUGAAGCAAACAGUGGAGGGAGGUCUAAAGGACAUCUAUUCUAGGUUAUAAUGAGAACUGGGUUGUCUCCUGUGACUUCAAUAGCAGAACUACUCCCUCUUUCAUCUUUGGGCUGGGACUGACACUGGUCUCAACAGGCACUUUGCCAAGCUCAUUUUCAGGUAUGACUUUGAAUGUGAUGGACCUCAGAGUCUACAUGAUCUCCAAGGAAUAA
Molecule: long non-coding RNA, 943 nt
Filed under: Mus musculus (house mouse)
Lineage: Eukaryota; Metazoa; Chordata; Mammalia; Rodentia; Muridae
Description: long non-coding RNA chr8:79705596-79706539
Source: RNAcentral